RNAcentral lists this ribosomal RNA (3071 nucleotides) under Campylobacter jejuni. RNAcentral's name for it is "23S ribosomal RNA". It matches the Rfam family "Bacterial large subunit ribosomal RNA". The record is from RNAcentral. Lineage: Bacteria; Pseudomonadati; Campylobacterota; Epsilonproteobacteria; Campylobacterales; Campylobacteraceae.
AAAAAAGGUAAGCUACUAAGAGCGAAUGGUGGAUGCCUUGACUGGUAAAGGCGAUGAAGGACGUACUAGACUGCGAUAAGCUACGGGGAGCUGUCAAGAAGCUUUGAUCCGUAGAUUUCCGAAUGGGGCAACCCAAUGUAUAGAGAUAUACAUUACCUAUAUAGGAGCGAACGAGGGGAAUUGAAACAUCUUAGUACCCUCAGGAAAAGAAAUCAAUAGAGAUUGCGUCAGUAGCGGCGAGCGAAAGCGCAAGAGGGCAAACCCAGUGCUUGCACUGGGGGUUGUAGGACUGCAAUGUGCAAGAGGUAAGUUUAGCAGAACAUUCUGGAAAGUAUAACCAUAGAGGGUGAUAGUCCCGUAUGCGAAAAACAAACCUUAGCUAGCAGUAUCCUGAGUAGGGCGGGACACGAGGAAUCCUGUCUGAAUCCGGGUCGACCACGAUCCAACCCUAAAUACUAAUACCAGAUCGAUAGUGCACAAGUACCGUGAGGGAAAGGUGAAAAGAACUGAGGUGAUCAGAGUGAAAUAGAACCUGAAACCAUUUGCUUACAAUCAUUCAGAGCCCUAUGUAGGAAUACAGGGUGAUGGACUGCCUUUUGCAUAAUGAGCCUGCGAGUUGUGGUGUCUGGCAAGGUUAAGCAAACGCGAAGCCGUAGCGAAAGCGAGUCUGAAUAGGGCGCUUAGUCAGAUGCUGCAGACCCGAAACGAAGUGAUCUAUCCAUGAGCAAGUUGAAGCUAGUGUAAGAACUAGUGGAGGACUGAACCCAUAGGCGUUGAAAAGCCCCGGGAUGACUUGUGGAUAGGGGUGAAAGGCCAAUCAAACUUCGUGAUAGCUGGUUCUCUCCGAAAUAUAUUUAGGUAUAGCGUUGUGUCGUAAUAUAAGGGGGUAGAGCACUGAAUGGGCUAGGGCAUACACCAAUGUACCAAACCCUAUCAAACUCCGAAUACCUUAUAUGUAAUCACAGCAGUCAGGCGGCGAGUGAUAAAAUCCGUCGUCAAGAGGGAAACAACCCAGACUACCAGCUAAGGUCCCUAAAUCUUACUUAAGUGGAAAACGAUGUGAAGUUACUUAAACAACCAGGAGGUUGGCUUAGAAGCAGCCAUCCUUUAAAGAAAGCGUAAUAGCUCACUGGUCUAGUGAUUUUGCGCGGAAAAUAUAACGGGGCUAAAGUAAGUACCGAAGCUGUAGACUUGCACACAACUUAGAUUAUUUAAGUUUAGAAUAUGAGAAACUAAGUUAUAUGUUUAGUUAUAUUUUUACUGAUUUUUAUAGAGUAAAGAUAGAAAUAAAACUUAGUAAAAUCAGUAAAAAUAUUCUUAGACUAAAGUUAAGUAGUUUAAGUUGUGUGCAAGUGGUAGGAGAGCGUUCUAUUUGCGUCGAAGGUAUACCGGUAAGGAGUGCUGGAGCGAAUAGAAGUGAGCAUGCAGGCAUGAGUAGCGAUAAUUAAUGUGAGAAUCAUUAACGCCGUAAACCCAAGGUUUCCUACGCGAUGCUCGUCAUCGUAGGGUUAGUCGGGUCCUAAGUCGAGUCCGAAAGGGGUAGACGAUGGCAAAUUGGUUAAUAUUCCAAUACCAACAUUAGUGUGCGAUGGAAGGACGCUUAGGGCUAAGGGGGCUAGCGGAUGGAAGUGCUAGUCUAAGGUCGUAGGAGGUUAUACAGGCAAAUCCGUAUAACAAUACUCCGAGAACUGAAAGGCUUUUUGAAGUCUUCGGAUGGAUAGAAGAACCCCUGAUGCCGUCGAGCCAAGAAAAGUUUCUAAGUUUAGCUAAUGUUGCCCGUACCGUAAACCGACACAGGUGGGUGGGAUGAGUAUUCUAAGGCGCGUGGAAGAACUCUCUUUAAGGAACUCUGCAAAAUAGCACCGUAUCUUCGGUAUAAGGUGUGGUUAGCUUUGUAUUAGGAUUUACUCCGAAAGCAAGGAAACUUACAACAAAGAGUCCCUCCCGACUGUUUACCAAAAACACAGCACUCUGCUAACUCGUAAGAGGAUGUAUAGGGUGUGACGCCUGCCCGGUGCUCGAAGGUUAAUUGAUGGGGUUAGCAUUAGCGAAGCUCUUGAUCGAAGCCCGAGUAAACGGCGGCCGUAACUAUAACGGUCCUAAGGUAGCGAAAUUCCUUGUCGGUUAAAUACCGACCUGCAUGAAUGGCGUAACGAGAUGGGAGCUGUCUCAAAGAGGGAUCCAGUGAAAUUGUAGUGGAGGUGAAAAUUCCUCCUACCCGCGGCAAGACGGAAAGACCCCGUGGACCUUUACUACAGCUUGACACUGCUACUUGGAUAAGAAUGUGCAGGAUAGGUGGGAGGCUUUGAGUAUAUGACGCCAGUUGUAUAUGAGCCAUUGUUGAGAUACCACUCUUUCUUAUUUGGGUAGCUAACCAGCUUGAGUUAUCCUCAAGUGGGACAAUGUCUGGUGGGUAGUUUGACUGGGGCGGUCGCCUCCCAAAUAAUAACGGAGGCUUACAAAGGUUGGCUCAGAACGGUUGGAAAUCGUUCGUAGAGUAUAAAGGUAUAAGCCAGCUUAACUGCAAGACAUACAAGUCAAGCAGAGACGAAAGUCGGUCUUAGUGAUCCGGUGGUUCUGUGUGGAAGGGCCAUCGCUCAAAGGAUAAAAGGUACCCCGGGGAUAACAGGCUGAUCUCCCCCAAGAGCUCACAUCGACGGGGAGGUUUGGCACCUCGAUGUCGGCUCAUCGCAUCCUGGGGCUGGAGCAGGUCCCAAGGGUAUGGCUGUUCGCCAUUUAAAGCGGUACGCGAGCUGGGUUCAGAACGUCGUGAGACAGUUCGGUCCCUAUCUGCCGUGGGCGUAAGAAGAUUGAAGAGAUUUGACCCUAGUACGAGAGGACCGGGUUGAACAAACCACUGGUGUAGCUGUUGUUCUGCCAAGAGCAUCGCAGCGUAGCUAAGUUUGGAAAGGAUAAACGCUGAAAGCAUCUAAGCGUGAAGCCAACUCUAAGAUGAAUCUUCUCUAAGCUCUCUAGAAGACUACUAGUUUGAUAGGCUGGGUGUGUAAUGGAUGAAAGUCCUUUAGCUGACCAGUACUAAUAGAGCGUUUGGCUUAUCUUUAAUAAAGCAU